Molecule: ribosomal RNA, 507 nt
Filed under: uncultured bacterium
Lineage: Bacteria
Description: bacterial SSU rRNA
Rfam family: Bacterial small subunit ribosomal RNA
Source: RNAcentral
CGAACGCUGGCAGCGUGGAUUAGGCAUGCAAGUCGACGGGAUCCGGAAGGUAGCAAUACCGGCCGGUGAGAGUGGCGGAAGGGCGAGGAACACGUGAGCAAUCUGUCCAGGAGGUGGGGAAAACUCCGGGAAACUGGAGCUAAUACCGAAUGUGGCGCCGCGGCACAUGCCGUGGACGCUAAAGGGGGCCGCAAGGCUCUCCCUCCACGAGGGGCUCGCGCACCAUCAGCUUGUUGGCGGGUAACGGCCCACCAAGGCUUACGGUUAGCUGGUCUGAGAGGAUGGCCAGCCGCACUGGGACUGAGAUACUGCCCAGACUCCUACGGGAGGCUGCAGUCGAGGAUCAUUCGCAAUGGGGGGAACCCUGACGAUGCGACGCUGCGUGGAGGAUUGAAGGCCUUCGGGUUGUAAACUCCUGUCAUGAUGGAAAAGGAGAGGGGCCCAACACGCCCCUUAUUUGAUGGUGCAUCAAGAGGAAGAGACGGCUAACUCUGUGCCAGCCGCGGC